RNAcentral lists this ribosomal RNA (253 nucleotides) under uncultured bacterium. RNAcentral describes it as "partial 16S ribosomal RNA". It matches the Rfam family "Bacterial small subunit ribosomal RNA", at positions 524 to 776 of the family's 1533-position model. The record is from RNAcentral.
UACGAAGGGGGCUAGCGUUGUUCGGAAUUACUGGGCGUAAAGCGCACGUAGGCGGGUUUGUAAGUAUGGGGUGAAAUCCCCGGGCUCAACCCGGGAACUGCCUUAUAGACUGCAAGCCUGGAGGUCAGGAGAGGCGAGUGGAAUUCCGAGUGUAGAGGUGAAAUUCGUAGAUAUUCGGAGGAACACCAGUGGCGAAGGCGACUCGCUGGACUGAUACUGACGCUGAGGUGCGAAAGCGUGGGGAGCAAACAGG